RNAcentral lists this transfer RNA (68 nucleotides) under Olea europaea subsp. europaea. It matches the Rfam family "tRNA". From Rfam's summary of the family: Transfer RNA (tRNA) molecules are approximately 80 nucleotides in length. Their secondary structure includes four short double-helical elements and three loops (D, anti-codon, and T loops). Lineage: Eukaryota; Viridiplantae; Streptophyta; Magnoliopsida; Lamiales; Oleaceae. The record is from Rfam by way of RNAcentral. RNAcentral also lists the same sequence under 1 other name.
GCAUCCAUGGCUGAAUGGGUAAAGCGCCCAACCGGGAAAAUUCGUAGGUUCGAUUCCUGCUGGAUGCA